RNAcentral lists this long non-coding RNA (974 nucleotides) under Mytilus galloprovincialis (Mediterranean mussel). The record is from RNAcentral. Lineage: Eukaryota; Metazoa; Mollusca; Bivalvia; Mytilida; Mytilidae.
UUAGUACUUUGUGCGCAGCCUCCAUUCAAACGGAUAACCGCAUCUAAACGUCUUCUGAUUCCUGCCAAAAAUCGACUAAUUUGUUGCUAAGGUAGCAGCAACCAUUUCUGAUGAAGGGCAUUGUUUAUUUCAUGAUGUGUUUGAACUGGGGUGUCCUUUCGCGCACGUUCCGCCCAAUAGUGUCCCAUAUAUGCUCGAUAUGGUUCAAAUCCGGGCUACGGUCCGUCCAAGAAAGAUGAACCGAAUUCCAUUGAAACAAUGGAUCUUCCUCCACGAUGCUAAUUUUCAACUUUAGCGAGCUCUGCACUACAUUGGAUACGGAAAACUGUGUGUCUGUUCGUAAGCAAAGGUCUCCGAAAUGGUCUUAUCGCACAAUAACCAGUAGCGAUGAGUCGAUCUCGAACAGUUCUUGCUAAAAGGCUCCCGUAUGCCCACCACUCUCUUUUUAGGAUUGUAUUGUAUGCAAUGGGUUUCCUUCUGACCAACCUUCAUUAUGCUUGAUUUUCCCUAGCAAAUGGUAUAGGGGGUCUUCGUUAUCUCGGAAGGUCUUUAACAUCGUUUAGUGCCUUAUUUUUAUUCUCAAAACGACUUAUAGUGGAAUGGUGAUGACCAAAAAUACGUGCAGUUGUUUCAGCGACAUCCCUGCUUCUCUCAUGCUGAUAAUCUGCCAUCUUGCUGCAGUUUAGAGUUGUCGAGGACCCAUUACAAGGUGUCAAUCACAUAACUUUAAAAACUUGGUUAUUUAAAGUGUUGAAAACAAUGAGGAUGAAAACAUCUGUUUUGCUGUUUACGGGUACAGUAGCUGCAUGUGCAGAUAAAAACUUAUCGAGUCGAUAUUUAUUGAUUAAACUCAUGUGAUACUUAAAUAAUGUUUAAUUAGUUCUAUUUUACCAAAUUAUAUCACAAAAAAAUAAAAAGUGUUAUUUUAAUUUCAAUUUCAAUUUGGUGUUGCAAUACUUUUUCCAUGUGUAUAU